UUAUUUAAGGUCUAGUCUGCCCACUGAAUUAUUUUUAACGGCCGCAGUAUAUUAACUGUGCAAAGGUAGCAUAAUCAUUAGUUUUUUAAUUGAAAGCUUGUAUGAAAGGCUGGACGAGGUAAAUUCUGUCUCUAUUUAAAUUAGAUUAGAAUUUAAUUUUUAAGUUAAAAAGCUUAAAUUUUAUUAAAAGACGAGAAGACCCUAUAGAGCUUUAUAAUUUAUUAAAUAAGAUUAAUUUAGUUUUAUUAGUAUUUUAUUUAAUAAAUUAUUUUAUUGGGGUAAUAGAAAGAUUAAAUUAAUUCUUUUUUUUUAUAAACAUAGAUUUAUGAAUAUAAUGAUCCAAUUUUAUUGAUUAAAAGAUUAAGUUACCUUAGGGAUAACAGCGUAAUUUUUUUAGAGAGUUCAUAUCGAUAAAAAAGUUUGCGACCUCGAUGUUGGAUUAAAGAUUAUUUUAGGUGUAGAAGCUUAAAAAUUUUGGUC
Molecule: ribosomal RNA, 480 nt
Filed under: Pamborus alternans
Lineage: Eukaryota; Metazoa; Arthropoda; Insecta; Coleoptera; Carabidae
Description: partial 16S ribosomal RNA
Rfam family: Bacterial large subunit ribosomal RNA
Source: RNAcentral